GAUGAACGCUGGCGGCGUGCUUAACACAUGCAAGUCGAACGGAAAGGCCCAAGCUUGCUUGGGUACUCGAGUGGCGAACGGGUGAGUAACACGUGGGGGAUCUGCCCUGCACUUCGGGAUAAGCCUGGGAAACUGGGUCUCAUACCGGAUAGGAUCUCUUCUUGGAUGUUGUGGUGGAAAGUUUUUUGGGUGUGGGAUGAGCUCGCGGGCUAUCAGCUCGUUAGUGGGGUGAUGGUCUACCGAGGCGUGGGCGGGUCGCCGGCCAGUGAGGGUGUACGGCGACAUUGAGUCUUAGGGGCGGCACAAGCACGUACUGGUGGGAACUGGGGGGAAUAUUGCACAAUGAGCGCAAGGCGGGUGCUGCAGGGCCGCGUGGGGGAUGACGGUGUUCGGGUUGUAGACUCAUUGCGCUAGGGACGAAGCGUUUUGUGACGGUACCUGGAGAAGAAGCCCCGGCUAACUACGUG
RNAcentral lists this ribosomal RNA (467 nucleotides) under uncultured bacterium. RNAcentral's name for it is "partial 16S ribosomal RNA". It matches the Rfam family "Bacterial small subunit ribosomal RNA", at positions 28 to 507 of the family's 1533-position model. The record is from RNAcentral.